RNAcentral lists this ribosomal RNA (357 nucleotides) under Triticum aestivum (bread wheat). RNAcentral's name for it is "partial small subunit ribosomal RNA". Lineage: Eukaryota; Viridiplantae; Streptophyta; Magnoliopsida; Poales; Poaceae. The record is from RNAcentral.
AUGUAUAGAGAGACUCAGUUGCGCUUAAGAAAUUCGGUUAGAAUCGAUAAGUCAUUCUCUUCCCCAUGGAUAUGUGAAACUACAAAAGUGUUGGCGAGUCUUGCCUUGGAUUCUGAUGCCUUAAAACUACUUGAUGUGAUAAUUGCACAGGAUAGUGAGCCUUGGUGUCAUGUCAAAUACCUUAAGGUGUCAUGUAGGGGGCCAAGGGUUUCAGAUCUUUUGUCUGGACAGUUGUCUCAUAUCGAAGGACAUGAUGAAGCUGUCACCCUCAAUAUCACAGUUUUUGGUCUCUGCUGCAUUUUUUCCUUGGAGCAUAAAACCUAUAUAUGGGGUUGUGUUGGACUGUAUUCCAAUUAA